This is a non-coding RNA of Pseudomonas batumici, 152 nucleotides long. Lineage: Bacteria; Pseudomonadati; Pseudomonadota; Gammaproteobacteria; Pseudomonadales; Pseudomonadaceae. The record is from Rfam.
AUUAUCUGGGCUGGUUCGCUGUCGUUGGCAGCACCUUCCCAGGUAGCCAGGACCUUCAAGGCUACGGUGGGCUUUCAAGCUCAUGGGUCAUCAGUAGUUCGCUCAGCAUUCGGAAGCGCGAACAAUCGACGAAACCCUCGUCGACCGAAUGC